CGAUCCUCCUGGCUCAGCCUCCCGAAGUGCUAGGAUAACAGGCGUGAGCCACCACACCUGGCCUGAUCAGACCUUUUCAUCCCUUUCUCUAAACCUCCACCAGCUGCCCGUCAGGAGCCUACACCAAGCCAGGCAGUGCAGUGCCGUGGAAGGUUCUGGGAGACCUGCAGACCUGGGCUCAACUCCCGGCUGCAUACCCUGGAAAGUUUGUGCCCCUCUUCCAACUAGCAAGCAGACAGCGUCCCCUGAGCUCUCUGCGAUGUGAUUUUUAUAAGGAGAAGCACGGUGCCGUUGAAUCUCACCUCUACCCCGUACUGCUCGCAUGCAACCUCCUUAGCCUCGGGGAGCCUCAGUCUCCUCCUCUGUAAAAUGGGCAUGCAUUUGUUUUCUAUGGCAGCUGUAGCCACAAACUUAGUGGCUUAAAACUACAUGAAUUUAUUAUCCUACAGUCCUGGAGGUCAGAAGUCCAAAAUGGGUCUCACUGGGCUGAGACCCAAGCAUCAGCGGGGCUGAGGUCCUCCUGCCGGCUCUGGGGGAGAAUCCGUCUUCUUGCCUUUUCCAGCUUCUAGAACCCCCAUUCCAUCUUCAAAGCCAGCACUGUAUGUUGCAUCUUCAAAUCGGACACUGACUCUCCUGCCUCCCUCUUGUACUUAUUCUGUCUGUCCUAAGGGAUGGCGACAGCUUUAUCCCAUGGGAAUCAGAGGAAAAUAAGAUAAAUCAUGUCACGGCACACCUGGCGUGGAGUAAGCCCCUGCGUGUGUUAGUGAAUGUGUCACUCUUGUUAUCAGAACGUGGAUGAUUUCUCCUGGAGAGGGAAGACAAGCUACAUGAACUCAGAGCCUCAGUUUCCUCAUCCGGGAGAUGGGAACAUCUUGCCGAGUGCAGGGAACUGCUGCCUGACCCGGGUUUAACUCGGCGCACCAGGUGCUUGAGUGGAGGCGAUUUGUAUUUUUCCCCCAUUCGUUAAUUGCUCAGCUUCAGAGAGAACCUCGGAGAAUCUCCCAUUUGUGCUAUCUUCCGGUGUCAUCAUGGCUUCUGGACAGGUGGCGCUCUGGCUGUGACCAGGGCUCUGCCCAGAGCUUGUGACCCUGUGACCUUUGCAUUCUUGCCGUGACUCAAUGCGUGCCUGGCCCCCACUUGCCUGUCGUAAGGAGCGGGUGUCAGGCCCAGGUGUGGGUCCCCCAGCCCUUUCCACAUGGCGACUCAAAGCUCUGCUCCGGCCUCCCAGCUUAGCAGCUCGGGAGACGGGGGGCGCCCUCAUCCCCUAGGUCCUGCCAAGUCCUGGGGAGAUGCCCAUCGGCCGCGACCACCAUGGCCUGGGCCGCUUGCUCCCCACUUCGACCCGUGGCUGGGGGGCUGCAGUGCUCUUGUUGGCCAGGCCAGGGUCGGGUAACAGGAGCUGGGCACAGGAAGACAGCCCCGGCCUCUUGCAGGGCCCCUGUCCCUGCUGCCUGCCUGGCCACCACUGAAGUGGAGCCCCGUUUAGUACUUCCUGACACCACCCCCAGCCCCUCGUCCCAUGCACUCCCUUACUCAUGAAUCGCCACAUGCGUGUGAGUCUGGUCUCCCCGUCGAGUCUGCAGGCCACUUCCUGGGUGGGCUGAGGAGUUAGAUAGACUCCUAAUGGUUAUACCCUUCUGCUGUUAGCUGGGGAGGCAGAUCACCUGCUCUAUGCCUCUGAGCCUCAGUUUCUUCAUCUGCAAAAUGGGCAUGAUAACUAGUAAGACAUGAUCAUAGGGCGGUUGUGAGGAUUGAGUGAGCUAAUCUAUAGCAGUGACCAGCCCAGGGCCGGGCGCGUAGCAGGUGCUGAAAAGGGUGCACCUGUUUCCAUCUUGUUGCCUUCCCUGACCCCAGGCAGACGCCAGAGAGGCGGCUCAGAGCAGCGCUGCUGAGCUGUAACCCCGGCGUCCCACACGGGCUCAGUCCUAUGCAACCUCUGAGCCCGUGCUUUCUGAGCGGCAAACAGCGAGCGCAGUCCCUGCCUGAGAUGAUGUCUGUCCAGCGCCUGGCACCGAGGAACGAGCUGCCACUGAGCCUUUAUUGACGGGAGACAGUCUCUCGACACCACACUUACACAGCCUCGGAGCUGCCCGAGCGCGGGGGUCUUCAUCAGCGGCGACAGAAACGACUCGCCGGGGCUCACGCAAAGCAGGUUCCCUGCAAAGACAAAAGCACGCGAGUGAGCUGGCUUCUCGUCAGACAAGCCUGAGUUCGAAUCCCCUGUCUUAGGAAAGAGGAAAAGAGCGUGUGCAUUGUUUAAAGCCACGUUUUGUAGAAAGAUGGCGAGGAGGAGUCAGCACUCCUGCCCCGGCCCUCCCCUUCCCCGCUGUGUGUCCUUGGGAAGGUCGCUUCUGUCUCUGAGCCUCGGAAUAAAAUGGAGAUGACCAGCAAACCCGUCUCCUGGGGCA
Microcebus murinus (gray mouse lemur) is the source of this 2408-nucleotide non-coding RNA. The record is from RefSeq and is a predicted model, not a curated record. NCBI's taxonomy places the organism in Eukaryota, Metazoa, Chordata, Mammalia, Primates, Cheirogaleidae.